Non-coding RNA from Phoenix dactylifera (date palm), 2379 nucleotides. NCBI's taxonomy places the organism in Eukaryota, Viridiplantae, Streptophyta, Magnoliopsida, Arecales, Arecaceae. The record is from RefSeq and is a predicted model, not a curated record.
CCCAUCCCCCAUCCCUAACCGCUGCGGCCGCCAACCACCCCCCCCGGCGAUCCCUAACCCCUCCUCCUCCUCCCUAACCCAAAUCCAACAAAUUCCUAACCGGAAGACCGUCCACGCGCCGCUCUACCUUCCGACCUUCUCUCUCUCUCGCUGGGAGCCAUGGCGACAUUCUCGUGGGCAUCCUUCCGGUUCCGCACCGGCUGAUGAAACUCCUUUAUAAGAGCCCGAAGGUUAAGGUUGUGGCGAUGGAUUGGAUUCUGAGGCACCAUGGUGUUGGGCUUGGAUCGAUUCUAUUGCUUCUCUUCUCUAAAUGCUCUUCGUGGAACAGCUGGAGAUUUAAUGUAGUUUCUUCUCCAAGAACUGGUGCAAAUAAUGUUGGCUCUAAAUAUCAGGAUUACUUGAAAUUAUUUGAGGUUCCUUUCACUCUGGAGGGUUCUAGUCGUUCUUUUUGUGGUUUCUAGUUUGAACAUCAAGAUUAUGGGGGCCAUCUGUUGUGUGGCUGCUCCAAGGAAGAAACCUUUGUUUUCCUGUUACAAGAUGAGCGACAGUCAUCUGCUUAUAAGAAUGCUGGAUGCUCCUCUAGAUGGAGCUUUCUACAUGGCAACCGAACUCAUACAAUGGAUGUUUUCGACAACCAUUCUGAGUUUUCUCAUCACAACAGUGGGAAUAUUGACUCAAAAUUUAAGCAUCGCAUAGAAACAGAUCAUGAAGGUCUUCUAGCUGGGAAGACACCGGUAGCAGCUUCUCAGGCACUCAGACAACUGAAGUCUCCUGAUUAAUUGAGCAUUGGUUGUAGCUCCAAAGUGGCUGCUGAAGGUAAAAUAUUUGGAUUGUGUUCUAUAUUUAGGGAAAACAUUCUUGUGCUGAGAAGCUUUUAGCUAUAGAAUUUUCUAAUAGUUACAUAAUGUUUUACAAUAUGAAGAAAUGCUGUUAUAAAUAAAAUUUUUACUCCAAUUUAACAAAAUAACAGAGCGGCCCUUACCUUUAACUCAUGAAAGAAUUUACAAAUCAGUAGAUUCCAGAACUUAGAAGUGAUUUUCACUGACGCAAGCUGUGGCAUAUAGUAUGGAUUUCUUCUAAUCCAUACAGCUCAUGUCUAGAAAGAGACUGCACGAGUUCCACUUAUAAAUGUCAAAUUAUUUCCAAUCAGUUGUUCAGGCUCGUCAAACUAUGACAUGAUCCUCUUUUUAUGGUAAAUACUAUCAUAAUCUAUCGUACCUAGGAAAUUUUGAAGAGUGUAGCUGGAUAACUAAUCAUGUUCAAUACUCUUCUUAACUUGUUUCUGUAGAAUAAUAAAGUUUCUGCUGCAAUUUUAGUGGAUAAAUGUUUCAUGUUAAUGCAAUCAAUGCUGCAUAGAGGGUAUAAUUUUCAUGCAUUCUUUGCAUAAUUCCUCAUCUAAUAUUCUUAUUCUUGUAACAGAUGGAUCCAUCAGAAGAAAUUUACCCUUCAAUCAUAGGAAAGAGACUCCAGUAGAUCACAAGUAAUUGCACCAUGUAUUGAGCCAUCAAUUUCUCCAUCUACAUCGGCUUCUAAAGCAGGCCCAUCAUCUUUGAAGACAAGCCAAACAUCAAGUAUGAUAUCAAGACUACUCUCUGAUAACAGAGUUCCACCUGUUAAAUCUUUAAAUGAGGACAGCUCUCUUGAAGGAAGGCAGUCUUUUGUUCUUCCAGGCACUGACUUAUCCAAUGAUGGAUCCCAGAUUCCCAGGUUGGGUCUUUUGAUGUUUGGCCUUCAGUUGAUAUCUCUAAAUUGAUGUCCUCUUUCCAAGGAGAGACAUGGUCAUUUGGAAGCGGACACUCAAGUUACUGCACCAACAAACUUGCAAAUUCAAGCACUCAGCUUUCAUCAACUUCCCUUUAUUCUGAUUCACAAAUGUGCAGAGUAUGCUCAAAGGUAUUGAAUGAUAGAUCCUUGUGGAGUAGCCAGAAACUGGUUCUGAACAAAGAGAUAUCUGUAGUGGCUAUUCUGGUCUGUGGGCAUGUCUUCCAUGCAAACUGUUUGGAAAUUAUGAUGCAUGCGACUGAAGUUUGACCCAUCUUGUCCAGUCUGCAUGAAUGGUGAGAAAUUUGUAUUGAAACUAGUGGAGAGAACCAAUUGGAAGGUAAGAAGCAGGAUCUCGAGGAGCCAAGUUGCCAGCAUUGAUGUUGAUUGUGAUUCUAGUUCUGCUGAUUAUGCUUCAUUAUGAUUGUUUUUGUUUUAGAUGAUAGGUCUUUGUAUUUCUAGGAGGAAUGAAAUCUCUGUUGAUCUCUAUGACAUACUUUUGGAUUUUGAUUUUGAUGGAUUUAGAACAUGUUGAUGUCUAUUUUGAAUGACAUGUUAAAUGACUUUUGCGUAAUGUUGAAUGCCUUUGCUAUUAAUGAUAUUAUUAUUAUGAGCCAA